CGUUCCGGACGAGGAGGCAGCGGGUCUCGCCCAGGCCCGGGCCGGGCAUGAUGCGGUGGCAGCAGAAGAGGAGGCUGUAACAGAGGAUUUCCCCAGAUUCCCUAUAUGAGACGGAGUCCACAGGACACAGUCAUCAUCUCUGAAGCAGCUUCGCUGGACGGCCUCUGAAUACUCCUCUGGCACCUCCGUUUUCCAACCAAGCUGUCUGAAAGCUAUGCUCAGAAGAUCAGUGAGAACGAGACAAGCACCCAUUUGAGCCCCAGUAUCCAGUGUGGGGACAAAAACAGCCAUUAUUUUUGCAACUCCACUUCUCCUUCAUCUCCAUCCAUCUCUACAGGAUAAGUGUCAGGUGAAAAAGAGAAGGGCAGCGGAGGAGACAGAAGGGAGCAAGUGGGUAGUGUUGAGUAUCCACUGAAAAUAGCAUGACGACCUUGAGGUGAUAACUUCAGAGACUGCAGAGACGCUGUAUUGCAAUUAAAUAAUAAACAUCACAAGAGCUGGAAGCCCUCACCGGGACAUAGAAGGCAUUAAGGCCUUUUUGUGCAAUCGUAUCAGCUGAAGUUAUCAAGACUAGGAAGCUCAGGAUCAGCCAUCGUCUGCAUUGUACCGACCAGAGGGAGUGCAGCACCUGGGACACGACUCAACCAGAGGCAAAUGGAUCUGAACUGGAUUCCUAUCUGGAAACCAGGAGCAAAGUUGGAAGUUGGACUUGGUAGAGAGUCUUGACUGUCUCUGCAGGAGGAACAAUGCUACUAGGAAAGAAUAGCUGUGGUUUGGUGCACAUGCCUCAAGAGGAUUCGGAACCUGCACACAGCUGCUCUCAGCCAUCACUCAGAUUAGAGAUAUUUGAUUAAUUCUUGAGCCCGGCUUCCACCGAUCAACGGAUCCGCUCCUUCAGCUGCCUUUAGUGGGAGAUAAAUCCAAGAGGAGUUUCAAGGCUUUUCAGUCUGGAUUUCUGUCCCAGGAGACUGCCAAAAAAAAACAAAACACCAUUGUAGGGGCACCUUUGACUGGAUGCUUGCUGUUAUUUCUUGCAUCCCCUAAUGGCAAGCAAUUGCUCUACAGAACACAUUUUCAACCGACUAGACACAUUCAGUUCAAGAACUGGAAAAAGUUUUCUACCCAAUCUGUUCUUGGAUCCUUUAGAGCUCCGGUUUACCCCCCACCCCCUUUGCUCUAACCCAGGCCUGAAAGUAAAUAUUCAAUAGCAAAGAAUUAUGAAGCACCAAGAAGGAAAGCAGAUGAAAAAAAUCAAAUUUUUUAAUGCCUGUGUGCCUGUGCCUAAGGCAGACUAUCAGGUUUUAGAUGGCCAUAGCUGUGUCAUUUGCCCCUUUUUCAAAUGUUUAGUGCUGGUCUGUGUACAUUUGUUUGGUAAGUGCCAUGUUCACAGAAGGGCAAUAAAACUGGUAAUGAUGAAGAA
Molecule: long non-coding RNA, 1420 nt
Organism: Ornithorhynchus anatinus (platypus)
Lineage: Eukaryota; Metazoa; Chordata; Mammalia; Monotremata; Ornithorhynchidae
Exons: 9
Source: RefSeq, a predicted model, not a curated record